CCCCUUUAGGGUCGGGGGUCGUACCGCCGGCGGCUGCCCUGCUGAGGUCGCGCUUCGUCCCGUUCCUCCUCCCCUCACUCAUGCGUUCUCCCCUUCGUUUCUGUCUCGCUCCAGCUGCCGGGACCUGCCGGCCCCCCCGAGCCGCGGGCGGAGCGAGGGAACGCCGCCGACAUGGCAACAGCCCCGGCGGCUGCUGCCCCUCCGGCGCCGCGCAGCUUGCCCCCUGUGCCUUCUACAUCAAGAAUGGGAUUUUCAGAACUUUCCGUCAGGGAGCGUAUGAGAGAGAAACUGAAAGCAGCCAGGUCAAAAGCAGAAGCUACUUUAUCUCAAGAAGACCUGGGUCCACGGCCAAGGCAUUUAAAAAGCAUCAGAGAAAGGAAAGCAGAACUGAGACUGGAUAAAGGGUCUGGUGAUCAACUUGGGGAGUUGCAAAGGGAUGAAUCUCUCUUAUCAUCAAAAAUAAAGUUUUCUGAUUCUGUGAAAAAACUCAAGCAGAAGUCACAGGCCCAGAGUGAUUAUCCUUCUGCUGAAGAAGCGUAUAACUUCUUUACCUUAAAUUUUGAUCCUGAACCAGAGAGUAUAAAGGCUGGAGCACGGAAAAGGAGUGAAUUAAAUGAAGAAGAGGCAGAAGAAUAUGUAGAAACUCAUGAGGAAGAACAAGAGGAGGAUGAAACGGAUGAAGAUGCACACCUAGUUAAAGAUGCUGAUUUGUUCAUUAUGGGACAGACAGAUGAAGAUUUUCUAGUAACGAAGCCUGCUGAGUGUGAAAGAUACUCUGAACAGCUGCAAAAAGAAAAAGAAUUCCUGUUCAUUCCCAGCAUGCAAACAGUGCCUACUUCUCAGAAGAUGCCUGAAAACAUGCAGCCUAGGUACCUUGAGGAUGAGGGUCUUUACGCAGAAGAAAGGCCCUUUGUAUCACCAUCUAAUCAAAAUAUUUUAGAAAACAGAAUUCUAAGACAGGAGAAAGGGAAAGAGUGGUUUGGUGAUGAUGGCAGAAUCUUAGCAUUGCCUAAUCCAAUUAAGCAGUCUUCUACUAGGCCUCCAGUAUUCUCAUUGGAAGAAGGCAUUGCACCAGAACUUGAAACAAUCUAUAGAAAGGCAAUAAGAACAACAGCUGCCAAUCAGUAUCUCAUUGGACCUGGAGAUUUUCAGGGGCCGUUUCAACUGGAUAUUGAUAUUUCUGGACUAAUAUUCACACAUCAUCCCUGUUUUAGCCGUGAACAUGUGUUAGCAGCUAAACUGGCUCAGUUAUAUGAUCAGUAUUUAGCCAGAAAACAGAAGAAUCUUACUGAACUUCUCACAGACAAGCUGCGUGCUUUGAGGAACGCUGUGCAAUGUAGCAUGGACAGUGCUGCUGCUUCUGGUCCUACAGCACAACAGAGCAUACCUGAAUACAAAAUUGAAAUCAGGCAAACCAGAAGACUUCGUGAUGCUGAACAAGAAAAAGAUAGGAUGUUGCUUAAAAGUAUUAUAAAAGUUUGGAAACAAAUGAAGUCCCUCCGUGAAUUUCAGAAGUUCACUAACACGCCCAUGAAGCUUUAUUUGAGGAAGGAAGAAGUUGAUCAGAGAUCAGAUGAGAAAGCAUAUGAAGCAGAAAUUCAGGCUGAGAUAAAUGAAUUACAAGAAGAAUACAUGGAAGAAUAUGAAAAGAAAAUGGAGGAGUAUAAAACUGAGCUACAAGAGUGGAAAUCCUGGAAGAAGGCACAGAAGUCCAAAAAGAAAAAGAAGAAAGACCUUCGAGAAGAAGAAUCAGUAGAAGAUUAUGAUGUUGGUGAAGAACCUGUAAAGCCAGUCCCACCUAAAAUGGUCGAUAGCUUGGAAAUAGAGCAGCAGGUUAGAGAAAAAGCUAACAACUUCAGAAGGAAACCUGGAGAGCCUGCUUUAAUUCCUGAACUAGUCUUGUCAGGAAGCAUAACUCCAAGUGAGCAGUGUCCUCGGGCAGAGGUUUUACGACGAGAAGACGUAAACAAACGCUCUGCAUUUAUAAAAGUCUUUUUCAACUCCAAAGAAGUAUCAAGGACUGUUACUCGACCACUAAGUUCAGAUUUCAGAGUUCACUUUGGACAGAUUUUCAAUUUACAAAUUUUCAACUGGCCAGAGAGUUUGAAGCUACAGAUCUAUGAAACAACGGGCAUGAGCAGUACCACCUUGCUGGCUGAAGUUUUCAUACCUGUUCCUGAGACGACAGUUCUGACAGGCAGCGCUCCCAUGGAGGAGAUAGAGUUCAGCAGCAAUCAGCGUGUGAUGCUGGACCAUGAAGGAGUUGGGAGUGAUGUAUCCUUUUCAUUUGAAGCUGAUGGUAGCAAUCAAAUGACUUUAAUGACUUCUGGGAAGGUAUCUAAUAGUGUUUCUUGGGCAGUUGGAGAGAAAGGAAUCCCCCUGGUUCCUCCAGUAUCUCAGCAAAACACAGGAAUUCCAAGUGCUUUAAAAAAUAUUGAUGCUAUUGCAUCCAUUGGCACAUCAGGCUUAACUGACAUGAAGAAACUGGCUAAGUGGGCAGCAGAAACUAAACUUGAUCCGAAUGACCCAAACAAUGCAGCUCUGAUGCAGAUGAUUAUGGUUGCCAGUAGUGGAGAGGCACAUGUUCCUGACUUCUUCAGACUGGAACAGUUGCAGCAAGAGUUUAAUUUUGUUUCUGAUGAAGAAUUUAAUAGAUCAAAGAGAUUCCGACUCCUGCAGCUCAGGAAUGAGGAGGUGGCAGAGUUCCGAAACUAUAAGCAAGUCCCUUUGCAUGAACGAGAAAUCAGUGAGAAACUUUUCCAGGAAUAUGAGAAAAGACUACACGAGAGGGAUGUGAUUGACAGUAAGCAUUACCUGGAUGCGCGCAGAGCUGUUGUUGCCAACUAUCUACAAAAGGUUCGAGAAUCAGUAAUUAACCGUUUCCUAAUAGCAAAGCACCAUUUCCUUCUCUCUGACCUGGUCAAUGAAGAGGAGAUUCCAACUCUGGGUAUUUUGGGACUCGGCCUCUUUAAACUGGCAGAGCCAAAACGGCCGUUAAAGCCAAGAAGAAAGGAAAGGAAGAAGGUCACAGCACAGAGUUUAUCAGAUGGAGACAUCAAGCUGUUAGUGAACAUCAUUAGAGCUUAUGACAUUCCAGUAAGAAAACCAGUCACAAGCAAACUUCAACAGCCAUCCAAAUCUUCGAGAUCCUUUAAUGAGAUGUUUGCAGCCUCUCCAUCUGCUCAGAGCCCAACCAACAAUGUAGAUUGGGCGUUUGACCAGGUUUUAGUCCGUCCAUUUGUAGAAGUUUCUUUUCAGCGAACAGUCUGUCGGACAACAACAGCAGAAGGUCCAAACCCCAACUGGAAUGAGGAACUUGAGUUUCCAUUUAGAGCUCCUAAUGGUGACUACAGCACCCAUAGUUUGCAGUCAGUGAAGGAUGAAGUGUUCAUUAAUGUUUUUGAUGAAGUACUUCAUGAUGUUACAGAGGAUGAUCGUGACAGAGGAAGUGGUAUCCACACUCGUAUCGAGCGGCGCUGGCUGGGAUGUGUUAAGAUUCCCUUUACUACAAUAUAUUUUCAGGCUAGGAUUGAUGGUACAUUCAAGGUGAAUAUUCCUCCGGUACUCCUUGGCUACAGCAAAGAGAAGAACCUGGGCAUUGAGAGAGGGUAUGAUUCUGUGCGAAACCUGAGUGAGGGCUCCUAUAUAACACUGUUCAUUACCAUUGAACCACAGCUCAUUCCUGGAGAGUCGGUCAGGGAGAAGAUGAAUGAAAUGCUUAAGAAGUUUGAUACCCAAGAAGAUGAGAAAUUGCUUCAAGCAGCAGAAAAAUAUGAAGCUGAAUGUACGUCGAAGUUUCCAAGCCGUCAGUGCCUAACAACGGUAAUUGAUCUCAGUGGAAAAACAGUGUUUAUUACCAGAUACAUCAAACCCCUCAAUCCGCCCCAGGAGCUCCUCGAUGCCCUCCCAAACAGCUCUCAGACAACAGCAGAAUUGGUGGCUCGAUAUGUUGCUUUGAUUCCAUUCUUGCCAGAUAGUGUGUCAUUUGCUGGAAUUUGUGACCUGUGGUGUACAUCAGAUCAAUUUCUUGAUCUUCUGGCGGGGGAUGAGGAAGAACAUGCCGUGCUCCUGUGUAAUUAUUUUCUUGGUAUGGGGAAGAAAGCCUGGCUAAUCAUUGGAAAUGCUAUUCCUGAGGGACAAACUGCAUAUGUGUUAACUUUGGAGCAAAGUCAGUAUGUGAUUUGGAAUCCCAGCACUGGCUGCUUUUACAGGCAGUACGAUACUUUCUGCCCCUUGCAAAGCGUGUACUGUCUGAUCAGCUGCGAUAACAUUUGGUUUAAUAUCCAACAGUGGGACUCUCCAGUAAGGAUAAGUUUUGAUAUCAGCAAACCAAAACUUUGGAAGCCUUUCUUUUCAAGAAGCUUACCAUACCCUGGGCUCUGCAGUGUUCAGCCUGAAGAAUUGGUGUAUCAGCAUUCAGACAAAGCUGCUGCGGUGGAACUACAGGGCAGGAUUGAAAAAAUACUGAAGGAGAAAAUUAUGGAAUGGAGACCAAGGCAUUUAACUCGCUGGAACAGAUACUGUACCUCUACCCUACGUAACUUCUUGCCUCUGCUGGAACAAAACCAAGGCAAAGAUGUAGAAGAUGACCAUCAGGCAGAGCUGCAAAAGCAGCUGGGAGAUUACAGGGUGUCUGGAUUUCCUAUUCAUAUGCCAUUUUCUGAAGUCAGACCUUUAGUAGAAGCUGUACACAGCACUGGAGUUCAUACCAUUGAUGUUUCCAAUGUUGAAUUUGCCCUAGCUGUGUACGUUCAUCCUUAUCCCCAAAAUGUUCUCUCCACAUGGAUUUACGUUGCUUCACUUGUACGGAAUCGGUAGUACAGCCCAGUCAGAACACCUCAGCUUUGCUGAUGGAGGGGGAAGUAAUACAGAUUUCUCACACUGCUGAUUUGAGCUAUCCCACAUAGCUUGAAAGUCUAGCGAGAACCUGAUUUUUCAGAAGCUGCAAACAUUUAGCUUUGCUCAGUUUAAAACCACAGGAGAUAACUUACCAACCUUGACCAACAGUUCUGGGAUUCAAGUACCUUAAUUAAACUCUUCCGAGUGAAAGCAAGGGUGGGUUCAGGUUAGGAAGGAUAUCAAAGUUAAGGUAGAGCUUAAGGCCAAAGAAGAUUCAGUCCAUCCAAUAAAUGUUGGACAAAACCUUUGCUUUAGAACCUGGGAUGCCACAGGUUCCCCUCUAAUCAACAGAAAAGCACCUCUACAGAACUGUCAUGCAGCAGCAAGCAUCUGCACUCUAAUCACAAUGCUCUGCUUGAACAACACUGAUUGAUUACAUCUCUGAAGUCCACCACCUUUUCAGAAAAGGGUGAAAAAAAAGAACAUGGUCUUCUCACACUAUUUUCUGCAGCUGAUUCAGCCCUCUACCAAUCUGCACAGGAAGCAGUAAUAGUAUGUAGCAGUAAGGACGAGAACCUCCCCAGCUGCUCCUUCUUCACCUCAGGAACAAGAGUUCCAGAACAGAGAGGCAGAGAAGCCCCCCCAUACCUUGUUACUUCUCUCAGAGCCAGAACGAGUGGCCAUUUACAUCUAAUCUAAGCUUUAGGCACCAGAAAGUUUAAUGCAGUUUACUUGAAAGAACAGUUGCUAUAACGGAAGCCUACCAGAGAGGUAUGAAAGGAGACUGCUAACUGACCACCACACCUACUUCCUCUAGCUGGGUUCAGCUUCUAACCACUAGCAGCCAUCUCUGGCACUAACAAAAAUUGAGUAGUGUUUUUUGUCAGUUUUGAUGCAAAAAAAGAAUGCUCUCAAACCUUGGAAGAGUUGGGUGGUGAGAUGGCAUCAGUACAACAAACUGCCACUCAUCUCCAGUUAUGCCUGCAAGCUGACCUCCCACACUCACUCUACCUAAGCCACCUGAACUGCUGUCCUCCUCAAUAAUUAAUUUAUCCAAGUCAUAAAAAGGGUAAAAAUUACUCAUUUGGCAUACUGUCAGCCUGCAAAACUAGCCUUCUAUGAGGCUGCCAGCUCCACCCCCUGCAUCUGCUCGAAAGAAAACUUAACUUACAACUGUAGUAAGCAGAUGACCACAAAGAUCAGAGUACUCACCCUCUCCUGGAAUAGCCUCUUCCCCCAACACCCCACACAGAUGUGUGCUGUCCUCACGCAUCACUCCUUGUUCUUUUUAGCGUAGUUCUCUCUCAGCCUAACAAUGGCUUCUUUGCAUCCCUGCUCCUCCUCUCUGCUGUUCAGUGAAGCAGUCAUUUUAAAUCAAAACAAUGGGGAAAACAUCUUCCACAGAUUUUUUAUGAAUGAAAGCUGAUAUUCCUAGAAGCUGUUUGGAAAUGCAGUCACUGCAGGAAGGAAUGCCUAUUUUCAAGGUUCACAGUUGCACUACCACCAUACAGCCCCCACCAAACCUCCUUAGCUUACCAGUGCUUAUCUCACACCUCAAUGUCACACUUUAAAAGCAUAUAUAUUCCACUGCUACAUAAAGUUUUUAUUGGUGGGAAUGUUUUAUUUGAGUAUGUCUUUCAAGCCCAAAUACAAAACCAAAUGCAAAAGGAAAGUGGGAAUUACCCUAAUUUUGCAAUAUAAAGGACAACUUCAGGAUAAGAGGAGAGGGGGAGAAACAAGGCUCCUAAAGAUGUAUUACUGUUACCCAAAUGCAAACAAUACAUUUCAAAUUAGCCGCAGAGCUUUAUAUUGUACUGAUGGAUUAAAAAUAAGAAACCAUUCACUUAACACAAAAUAAUCCAUUAAAGUAUAUUUAAGUGCCAAACUUGGAAGAAAGUGGCAUUAAAAAAAAAAAAAUCUGCAUGUUUUCCCAUCUUCCCCAAAUAAA
RNA transcript from Gallus gallus (chicken), 6787 nucleotides. It is a transcript of the gene named coiled-coil and C2 domain containing 2A, with no coding region annotated. The record is from RefSeq and is a predicted model, not a curated record. The transcript is spliced from 36 exons. Lineage: Eukaryota; Metazoa; Chordata; Aves; Galliformes; Phasianidae.